RNAcentral lists this ribosomal RNA (54 nucleotides) under Photobacterium damselae subsp. damselae. RNAcentral's name for it is "partial 23S ribosomal RNA". Lineage: Bacteria; Pseudomonadati; Pseudomonadota; Gammaproteobacteria; Vibrionales; Vibrionaceae. The record is from RNAcentral.
AGGGGGCGGUGGAUGAGUGAGAGGGGCUGCUCCUAGUACGAGAGGACCGGAGUG